Long non-coding RNA from Gasterosteus aculeatus aculeatus (three-spined stickleback), 793 nucleotides. NCBI's taxonomy places the organism in Eukaryota, Metazoa, Chordata, Actinopteri, Perciformes, Gasterosteidae. The record is from Ensembl.
UACAGCACCACCGCAAACAACUGAGGAAAGGAGCAAAACGUCUCCGUGGUCUCAUCUCCGGAGAACAAGGAGCCUGAAUCCAUACUGAUCUGCUCUGCUUCAAGUGCUGCAAAUCUGGCACAACAAAGCAGGAGGAUGUCGUCAAGUGUCCUCGGGGUCCCGUCCUUCAGUGCUGUGCAGUUCAGUGAUAAGACUGGUGAUAACAUCUGGCCAAAGGAUCAAGAACCAAAGAGGGACAAAUCAUGCCAGAGCUCAGCGCGUCCCACGGUUCCGAGUGGAGGAUGGACGGGUUCCCCUCUGGCUGCGGUAUCCGGCCUUUCUGACAAACAAACAUCGAGAGGCUAAAAAAAAUCCCCAACAGGAACAACUGAAAAACUGAGGAGAAUCGCUUUGAGCGAGGCGAUUUGAGAUGAAGAACGGUGCAGGUUUCGUGAGAAAAGAGGGCGACCAGAGGGAAAGAGACGGAACAUCAAAAUGCAAGAUCACAUCCAGCCUGUGGGCCUCGGCGUCAGGCGGGACGUGUUUCUGAGCAGAAGACAUCCGCCGCCGGCGGACGGGAAUGUAUGACGUAGAAGGAAAGGCGCUGAGCGGGGAAGCUACGCAUGCUUUGCAUUUCUUGAGGAGCGACACACAUCUUGAUAAAGCAUAUCAUCUUUAUAAAGUUUAGGUGGUCAACCGUGAAGAAGAAGAAGAAACGUGAAGGUUUUGACUUUAAAACUAUUAUUGUACCUUAUUUCUGAACGGUUCCCAUCAGGGAAUUUCUUUAUAAAUAUACAAAACAAAUGAGAUGCAG